Molecule: long non-coding RNA, 624 nt
Filed under: Rattus norvegicus (Norway rat)
Lineage: Eukaryota; Metazoa; Chordata; Mammalia; Rodentia; Muridae
Description: long non-coding RNA NONRATT013582
Source: RNAcentral
CAGCGUUCUGGUUAGGAUCCAGAACAUCUAGAACAUGGCUUUCCUGUAAGUUCUGUGCAUGGCUUAGGUGCCAGGCUCUGUGGUGGCGUUCCCUGCACUCUCCCUGCCGUUCUUCCUGUGACUGCCCUGGGAGCUUCCACAGGUUUGUUUUCUUUGCUGUCUAAAAAACACAACAAGGUUCUGGAGCAAGCCACGCAGUCCUUGAGAGGUUCCCUGAGCUCCAGCGAUGUCCCUCUCCCAGAUUAUGCCCAGGACCUCAGCGUCAUUGAAGAAGUGAUUCGGAUGAUGCUGGAGAUCAUCAACUCCUGCCUGACUAAUUCUCUCCACCACAACCCGAACUUCAGUUGGCCUGUACUGGAACCCACAGGACAUCCAACUGUUUGCCAUGGACUCAGACUGAAGCAGGACACGGCCAUGCCUACCCCAGCCCAGCUGCUAGUUACUUCACGUCCAGGAGCAGAGCAGACAGACUGCCCGCCCGGUGUGUCUUCUGCCACAGAGGGUCACACAGCCUGCUUCUCUCACACACUGUGACUGUCGGGAGACUUCUCAGUUAGCGGUAGUUCACUGAGCUUUGAUGUACUGCAAGGGCGAGCACAGAAAUAAACGGAAAACAUGCUGUUC